GAAUACAUAGUGGCAUGAGGCGAACCGGGGGAACUGAAACAUCUAAGUACCCCGAGGAAAAGAAAUCAACCGAGAUUCCCCCAGUAGCGGCGAGCGAACGGGGAGGAGCCCAGAACCUGAAUCGGCUUGUGUGUUAGUGGAAGCGUCUGGAAAGUCGCGCAGCAAAGGGUGAUAGCCCCGUACACUAAAAUGCACAGGUCGUGAGUUCGAUGAGUAGGGCGGGACACGUGACAUCCUGUCUGAAUAUGGGGGGACCAUCCUCCAAGGCUAAAUACUCCUGACUGACCGAUAGUGAACCAGUACCGUGAGGGAAAGGCGAAAAGAA
RNAcentral lists this ribosomal RNA (325 nucleotides) under Serratia marcescens. RNAcentral's name for it is "bacterial LSU rRNA". It matches the Rfam family "Bacterial large subunit ribosomal RNA", at positions 160 to 523 of the family's 2925-position model. The record is from RNAcentral. Lineage: Bacteria; Pseudomonadati; Pseudomonadota; Gammaproteobacteria; Enterobacterales; Yersiniaceae.